GAGGUUGUGGCUCAGUGCUUAAAGCGCUCACCACCCAUGUGCGAGGCCCUGGGUUCGAUCCUAAGCACCACA
This 72-nucleotide transfer RNA is filed under the name Marmota monax (woodchuck). Its description in RNAcentral is "tRNA.Gly". The record is from RNAcentral. Lineage: Eukaryota; Metazoa; Chordata; Mammalia; Rodentia; Sciuridae.